UAAAAGAUAAGCUAAACAAGCUAUUGGGCCCAUACCCCACCUAUAAAGGUCAAAUCCUUUUCUUUUUA
RNAcentral lists this transfer RNA (68 nucleotides) under Cucujoidea sp. 34 KM-2017. Its description in RNAcentral is "tRNA-Met". Lineage: Eukaryota; Metazoa; Arthropoda; Insecta; Coleoptera. The record is from RNAcentral.